Molecule: ribosomal RNA, 946 nt
Filed under: uncultured archaeon
Lineage: Archaea
Description: bacterial SSU rRNA
Rfam family: Archaeal small subunit ribosomal RNA
Source: RNAcentral
UUCCGGUUGAUCCUGCCGGACCCCACUGCUAUCGGGGUGGGACUAAGACAUGCUAGUCGUGCGCCUCCAAGCCACGGUGGAGGCGCGGCGCACAGCUCAGUAACACGUGGCUAACCUACCCUUGGGACGGGGACAACCCCGGGAAACUGGGGCUAAUCCCCGAUAGGUGAGGACUCCUGGAAUGGGUCCUCGCCGAAAGGGCGUCUAGACCAUGCUUCUAGGCGCUGCCCAAGGAUGGGGCCGCGGCCGAUCAGGUAGUUGGUGAGGUAACGGCUCACCAAGCCUAAGACCGGUACGGGCCGUGAGAGCGGGAGCCCGGAGAUGGACACUGAGACAAGGGUCCAGGCCCUACGGGGCGCAGCAGUCGCGAGACCUCCGCAAUACGCGAAAGCGUGACGGGGCCACCCCGAGUGCCGUCCGCUGAGGACGGCUUUUCCCCAGUGUAGACAGCUGGGGGAAUAAGGGGAGGGCAAGUCGGGUGUCAGCCGCCGCGGUAAUACCCGCUCCCCGAGUGGUGGGGACGCUUAUUGGGCCUAAAGCAUCCGUAGCCGGCUGGAUAAGUCCCCUGUUAAAUCCAGCGAUUCAAUCGCUGGACUGCGGGGGAUACUGUCCAGCUAGGGGGCGGGAGAGGCCGGCGGUAUUCCCGGGGUAGGGGUGAAAUCUUAUAAUCCCGGGAGGACCACCAGUGGCGAAGGCUGCCGGCUGGAACGCGCCCGACGGUGAGGGAUGAAAGCUGGGGGAGCGAACCGGAUUAGAUACCCGGGUAGUCCCAGCUGUAAACGAUGCGGGCUAGGUGUUGGCACGGCUACAAGCCGUGUCAGUGCCGCAGGGAAGCCGUUAAGCCCGCCGCCUGGGGAGUACGGCCGCAAGGCUGAAACUUAAAGGAAUUGGCGGGGGAGCACCACAAGGGGUGAAGCUUGCGGUUUAAUUGGAGUCAACGCCGGAA